GUACCCGCGGCAAGACGGAAAGACCCCGUGAACCUUUACUAUAGCUUGACACUGAACAUUGAGCCUUGAUGUGUAGGAUAGGUGGGAGGCUUUGAAGUGUGGACGCCAGUCUGCAUGGAGCCGGCCUUGAAAUACCACCCUUUAAUGUUUGAUGUUCUAACGUGGACCCGUGAUCCGGGUUGCGGACAGUGUCUGGUGGGUAGUUUGACUGGGGCGGUCUCCUCCUAAAGAGUAACGGAGGAGCACGAAGGUUGGCUAAUCCUGGUCGGACAUCAGGAGGUUAGUGCAAUGGCAUAAGCCAGCUUGACUGCGAGCGUGACGGCGCGAGCAGGUGCGAAAGCAGGUCAUAGUGAUCCGGUGGUUCUGAAUGGAAGGGCCAUCGCUCAACGGAUAAAAGGUACUCCGGGGAUAACAGGCUGAUACCGCCCAAGAGUUCAUAUCGACGGCGGUGUUUGGCACCUCGAUGUCGGCUCAUCACAUCCUGGGGCUGAAGUAGGUCCCAAGGGUAUGGCUGUUCGCCAUUUAAAGUGGUACGCGAGCUGGGUUUAGAACGUCGUGAGACAGUUCGGUCCCUAUCUGCCGUGGGCGCUGGAGAACUGAGGGGGGCUGCUCCUAGUACGAGAGGACCGGAGUGGACGCAUCACUGGUGUUCGGGUUGUCAUGCCAAUGGCACUGCCCGGUAGCUAAAUGCGGAAGAGAUAAGUGCUGAAAGCAUCUAAGCACGAAACUUGCCCCGA
This 737-nucleotide ribosomal RNA is filed under the name Salmonella enterica subsp. enterica serovar Pomona. RNAcentral describes it as "partial 23S ribosomal RNA". It matches the Rfam family "Bacterial large subunit ribosomal RNA", at positions 2066 to 2802 of the family's 2925-position model. Lineage: Bacteria; Pseudomonadati; Pseudomonadota; Gammaproteobacteria; Enterobacterales; Enterobacteriaceae. The record is from RNAcentral.